AUGGAACAAUAUCAUGUAUUUUUUAGAGAAAAUCAAUUGCUCAUGUAUAGGUGCACAUCAGCAGGAAAACUGGAAGGACAAAAAAAGGAAGGAAGAAUUAACUUUUCCAUGGCGGCAACCGAGCAAACGGUUGACGACAGACGGCGGAUGCGAGGCGUGCGGUCAGAACUGGAACCAACUGCAACACGACCAUGA
This 195-nucleotide ribosomal RNA is filed under the name Triticum aestivum (bread wheat). RNAcentral's name for it is "partial small subunit ribosomal RNA". The record is from RNAcentral. Lineage: Eukaryota; Viridiplantae; Streptophyta; Magnoliopsida; Poales; Poaceae.